AACUUUCUAUGUUUUGAAGCCAUUUGAAUGCUUUUGAAUAUACUAAAUUUCAUAUUUGAAUCAGACUUUAGAAGACUUCUCAAAAGACUCUUGGUAGACUCUCAGAAGACUUCUUGGGAAGUCACCGAAGAGAAAACUUAUUGAGAAUUUUUCUAGACCGUAAAAUCAAAUACAUGUGAAGACUUCUAGAAGACUUCGUUCUUCUCGAAAUCUUCUUGAGAACACUUCUGGGUCUUCCAAACCAUAAAUUAAUCAAAUAACUAACUAAAUAGCAAAUAACAAUUCAUUAAAAUCAUAAUCAACUUAUAAAGUGUUUAAUAUACACAAAACUAAACAUAUGUAUGUCAAAAAAAAAUUAACUUUAAAAUUCCAAAAUCUAACCCUAAUACAAACAAUACUAUAACAUAUGUUAUUAAACCCUAAACCAAAGACUUUUCGGAGUCUUCCAGACCCUAUAAUCAAAUAACUAAGCAAAAAAAAAAAAACACUUCUUUAAAUUUCAAAGAAACUUGUGGAAGCACCGUAGCCUAUUCGUUAAGGUUUAAAGACUUCUACGCCCAGGUCUGGGGUUCGAACCCCAGACUAUGCAAUUUCUUGCAGAUUACAGGAAAUCCAAGUUUCAAGUCCUGGAGAAGAGCGAUUUAUUAAUGCAGACUACAAAAAGAAAGAUUUACAAGGAAAUUUCAACAUGGUGCAAGUAAAUCUGGUCAUGAAUGGAUCUUCAUAGGACGGCUCAGAUGAUGCAGUUAGGCGUAGAUCUUCAUAAGGCAGGUAGUAUUGUCGGUUAUCGAUUUGUCUAUGUAAUCUUUCUCAUAAACGUUAUGUCAUAAUAAAUCAGCGUUAAAAAAAAAUUAAAAGAAACUUAGAAAAUGUUUAAAACAAGUUGAUAGUCAUUAAACACAUAUAAGUCAAACUAAAAACAGUUAAAAAUAUAAGAUUUCAAAAUUUAACCCAAAAAUACCAACAAUACUAUAAUAUACGUUACGAAACCCUAAACCAAAGGCUAUCA
RNAcentral lists this long non-coding RNA (1009 nucleotides) under Brassica rapa (field mustard). RNAcentral's name for it is "long non-coding RNA (BRAP_LNC004816)". The record is from RNAcentral. Lineage: Eukaryota; Viridiplantae; Streptophyta; Magnoliopsida; Brassicales; Brassicaceae.